UUUUGCUGACUUGUACCCCCAAAACAUAACUCCAUUUGCCAAUGAAGGACAAAAUAUUUUUCAUUUCCUUUUGAAAUAUCUUUGUAGGGCCAGAAGUCAAAGGUGAUUCCCUGUAGUUACCUUGCUGUCUAAAGCAAUAAAAUCAAGCCAGGAUCUACAGGGUUGGUGUCACACUCGCCUUUGCAGUGAAGCAGCCUACACUCUCUCCAUAGAUUCAUUGUUCCUCUAGAUUUUUAUCUCAGGUGAGAUUAAUAUGACAUCAUAUCUACUUUUAUGAUCCUUCACUAUUCAAAAUCUCUUCUAGAAUAUAGCACCAAGCAUCAUAUAGGUUUUUUAAUGCUUACUCAGUUAUGUUAACAAUAACUUGUAAAGUAAGUCCUUGUUUUCAUCUCAAUUUUUAAAAACUUAAAAAUUACAGAAACUUUGUUAUGUAUACAUUAGCAUCAUCUCUUGUGUGUAUAUUGUGUGUGUAUGUCUGUGUGUAUUUAAAUUAAGGGGGAUGUUGUUAGAAAUAAGAACUAAAGUAAAAAGGAUAAAUUAUUGUAAAGAUACUUGGCUGCCCCAUGGAACCCCAAAACAAGAAUGCAACUGGGCACUAGGAAUGACUGGAAACAGACAGGCCAUUAGAACUUUCUCUGUCUCUUUUCCCCCACUACAUUAACUGUCCCAUUCUGUAUCUCUCUCCCUCUUUCUCUCUCUCCCCACAUACAUUGUCUCACUCUCUGCUUCUCUGGUGUGCACUAAAUUGCAUGGUGGCUAACGACUCUUAAACUUUAUAACUUGUGAACCAGUUCCAAAUUCUCCAAGUACUGUGAUUCUUCCAGCUACCAAACCCCAGCCAACAACCUUGGCCAGGGAUGGUAAUCAAGUGACAUUUUCAUACCUACUGUAGUAAUUAGGUAGAUUAUAGUGGGAGGCUGAAGAAGAAGAAAAAGGAUGAAAAUUCCCAAAAUGAGGGAAGGAAUACAGGUCAUUCCUGACCACUACUAUCUCCUAUUCCUGGUUGUUUCAUCAACAUUGACACAAAAGACAAAAGAAAGUAGGAAAAAGAAAUAUUAAAAAAGCAAUAAUGUCUAUGGUGUAUUAAUGCAUAUGCAUGUUUGAAUAUUGAAUAAGAUGGAAUGCCUCUUACUGUUGGUAGUGCUCGAAGAUAGCUGUUCCCAGUAUAAGUAGCAGUAUGAUUUUAUGAUCUCUCGGCAUGGGGCUGGGUGAGUAUGAGAAAGAAAUCAAGUUUUUCACAGACAGUUUACUUUAGCUUCUUUUUUCAUGGCAAAUUAAAUAAGAGAUUUUUAAAAUAAAACAAAUGAGUGUGCUAGAAUUUUACAUUGAUUGAAAAUAAAUAUUCGUGGCUCUUGCGCUUUGCAUAGUGGUUAUAUUUGUAAAAUUGUAUGUAAAUCAUAUAUUUGAAAAUGAGUCACAUUUCAAAUAUAAUAGGGUGGUGAAUCUUAACAUUUUUGCAGUCAUAAAUCCAUUGGAGAAUUUGAGGAGAGCUGUGGACUCAUUUCCCAGAAAAAUAUGAGCAUGCACACACACAGUUACAAUGGGAUGUUAUAUGACAUAUUUAUUUGAGACCUGGA
This 1577-nucleotide long non-coding RNA is filed under the name Homo sapiens (human). RNAcentral's name for it is "HSALNT0078714". The record is from RNAcentral. Lineage: Eukaryota; Metazoa; Chordata; Mammalia; Primates; Hominidae.